AGCCUUGUAGUGUAGAUCAUGUUGGAUUGCAAAUCCAGAGACGCAGAUUAGUUGUCUGCCGGGGCUU
This 67-nucleotide transfer RNA is filed under the name Epalzeorhynchos bicolor (redtail sharkminnow). RNAcentral describes it as "tRNA-Cys". It matches the Rfam family "tRNA". Rfam says of the family: Transfer RNA (tRNA) molecules are approximately 80 nucleotides in length. Their secondary structure includes four short double-helical elements and three loops (D, anti-codon, and T loops). The record is from RNAcentral. Lineage: Eukaryota; Metazoa; Chordata; Actinopteri; Cypriniformes; Cyprinidae.